UACGGAGGUUCCAAGCGUUGUUCGGAAUUACUGGGCGUAAAGGGAGCGCAGGUGGAUUGGUAAGUCUAAAGUGGAAGCCCGGGGCUCAACCUCGGAAGGCCUUUGGAUACUGCCAAUCUUGAGUACGUGAGAGGAAAGCGGAAUUCAGGGUGUAGCGGUGAAAUGCUUAGAUAUCCUGAGGAACACCAAUGGCGAAAGCAGCUUUCUGGCACGCUACUGACACUGAGGCUCGAAAGCGUGGGGAGCGAAC
Molecule: ribosomal RNA, 250 nt
Filed under: uncultured bacterium
Lineage: Bacteria
Description: partial 16S ribosomal RNA
Rfam family: Bacterial small subunit ribosomal RNA
Source: RNAcentral